RNAcentral lists this ribosomal RNA (500 nucleotides) under uncultured bacterium. RNAcentral's name for it is "partial 16S ribosomal RNA". It matches the Rfam family "Bacterial small subunit ribosomal RNA", at positions 30 to 523 of the family's 1533-position model. The record is from RNAcentral.
AUUGAACGCUGGCGGCAUGCUUUAUACAUGCAAGUCGAACGGUAACAGGGUGCUUGCACCGCUGACGAGUGGCGAACGGGUGAGUAAUGCGUCGGAACGUGCCGAGUAGUGGGGGAUAACGCAUCGAAAGGUGUGCUAAUACCGCAUACGUACUGAGGUAGAAAGUGGGGGACCUUCGGGCCUCACGCUAUUCGAGCGGCCGACGUCUGAUUAGCUAGUUGGUGAGGUAAAGGCUCACCAAGGCGACGAUCAGUAGCGGGUCUGAGAGGAUGAUCCGCCACACUGGGACUGAGACACGGCCCAGACUCCUACGGGAGGCAGCAGUGGGGAAUUUUGGACAAUGGGCGCAAGCCUGAUCCAGCCAUGCCGCGUGUCUGAAGAAGGCCUUCGGGUUGUAAAGGACUUUUGUCCGGGAGCAAAUACCCAGUGCUAAUAACGCUGGGGGCUGAGAGUACCGGAAGAAUAAGCACCGGCUAACUACGUGCCAGCCGCCGCAGUAA